UACGAGGAUGCAAGCGUUAUCCGGACUGGAUUGGGUGUAAAGCAUCUGUAGGCGGUUUUGGAAGUCUACGGUUAAAUCCCAGGGCUUAACUUUGGUUCAGCCGUAGAGUACUUCAAAGCUUGAGUAUGGUAGGGGUAGAGGGAACUUCUCGUGGAGCGGUGAAAUGCACAGAGAUGAGAAGGAACACCAGUUGGCGAAAAGCGCUCUAACUGGGCCAUGACUGACGCUGAAGAGAUUGACAGCUGAGGGAGCGAAUAGGAUUAGAUACCCGGGUAGU
This 277-nucleotide ribosomal RNA is filed under the name uncultured bacterium. RNAcentral describes it as "partial 16S ribosomal RNA". It matches the Rfam family "Bacterial small subunit ribosomal RNA", at positions 524 to 794 of the family's 1533-position model. The record is from RNAcentral.